Molecule: ribosomal RNA, 493 nt
Filed under: uncultured bacterium
Lineage: Bacteria
Description: partial 16S ribosomal RNA
Rfam family: Bacterial small subunit ribosomal RNA
Source: RNAcentral
GACGAACGCUGGCGGCGUGCUUAACACAUGCAAGUCGAACGGAAAGGCCUGUCCUUCCUUGUGUUGGACGGGUACUCGAGUGGCGAACGGGUGAGUAACACGUGAGUGAUCUGCCCCCAACUUGGGUAUAAGCCUGGGAAACUGGGUCUAAUUCCCGAUAGGACUGCAGGGUGGUGCCUGUGGUGGAAAACGAUUUUCUAGUGGUUGGGGAUGAGCUCGCGGCCUAUCAGCUUGUUGGUGGGGUAAUGGCCUACCAAGGCGGCGACGGGUAGCCGGCCUGAGAGGGUGGACGGCCACAUUGGGACUGAGAUACGGCCCAGACUCCUACGGGAGGCAGCAGUGGGGAAUAUUGCACAAUGGGCGGAAGCCUGAUGCAGCGACGCCGCGUGGGGGAUGACGGCCUUCGGGUUGUAAACUCCUUUCGACCGCGAGGAAGCCGCCUGGUUGGAAGGGUGGUGACGGUAGUGGUAGAAGAAGCACCGGCUAACUACGU